Molecule: ribosomal RNA, 257 nt
Filed under: uncultured Gardnerella sp.
Lineage: Bacteria; Bacillati; Actinomycetota; Actinomycetes; Bifidobacteriales; Bifidobacteriaceae
Description: partial 16S ribosomal RNA
Rfam family: Bacterial small subunit ribosomal RNA
Source: RNAcentral
CGGAACGGGUGAGUAAUGCGUGACCAACCUGCCCCAUGCUCCAGAGUAGCUCUUGGAAACGGGUGGUAAUGCUGGAUGCUCCAACUUGACGCAUGUCUUGUUGGGAAAGUGUUUAGUGGCAUGGGAUGGGGUCGCGUCCUAUCAGCUUGUAGGCGGGGUAAUGGCCCACCUAGGCUUCGACGGGUAGCCGGCCUGAGAGGGCGGACGGCCACAUUGGGACUGAGAUACGGCCCAGACUCCUACGGGAGGCAGCAGGU